Orbicella faveolata is the source of this 854-nucleotide long non-coding RNA. RefSeq lists it as uncharacterized. The record is from RefSeq and is a predicted model, not a curated record. Lineage: Eukaryota; Metazoa; Cnidaria; Anthozoa; Scleractinia; Merulinidae.
GGAUCUAUCGGCGACAAAUAAAUCAAUCAAAGAUUGAAUCCUGGUGUAUUUUAAGACCUGAUAUAAAACUGUGUUUUCCUAUCUGAAGUUGGGGCUGAGUUGUGUCCGUAACAAGACACGGCGGUUUAUAAUCAGUAAUAGCCGGUAAUAAUUACCCAUUUAAGACAAAGGACAAAUAUUCCUCUCUGACGUAGUGGGUGGUGUUAAUUAUCUUGCCCGUGGAGUCAGUAUUAUCAGAUCUUUGAAAACGGACAUGGCCCGGCUGCUUGUGCUUUGUUCUACCACGGCAGGGAUUUUCAUAUCAAAACUGUUGGAAAAUAACUGAUGGACAACACUCAGGGGUAUACGGUGUAAUUGAUUAUCCCCUGCCGACUGUACGGUGCCCUAGGUAUUGAUAAAUAUCCACUGAAAUGAGCUUCAAGACGAGUUUGCAUAUCCUCAGACCAAACAGACGAUCUGUCCGUACGAUAAAGUGAGGAUGAAAUCAACGUGUAGUUAUGUAUUGCUUUGUACGUUCCUUGUUGCCUUAGUCAUGCAAGACUGUGUUGGUAUUGGUAUGUCGUACUGGCCUAGUCCCACUAAAAAGGCUAAAAAGGACCUUGCUAAUGGCCCGGUUAAUAAGAACAUUGGGCUGAAUUUCCAACGAAGUCUGUGCGAAGCUGCUAGUAAUUUGGAUUGCAGACGAAUACUGGACAUGGACGAACCAGAGAAUUGGUGAAGAAAAAGAGAACGAUUAGUUGUAAUUACGAGAUUAGGAAGAAAAUCCCUUCAAGCAGUAUGUAAAUUUACAAACCAUUCGUGGUAGAAUAAUGAAAAACAAUGUAAAAUAAUAAAAGCAAGUCUUUUAGGCCUAA